RNAcentral lists this long non-coding RNA (496 nucleotides) under Mytilus galloprovincialis (Mediterranean mussel). The record is from RNAcentral. Lineage: Eukaryota; Metazoa; Mollusca; Bivalvia; Mytilida; Mytilidae.
CUGAUUGUAAGCUUCAUAAUGAAAUAGCAAAUACAACUCUAUUCAUUUAGCUUCUUACUUUUAUCCUGAUACAUGGUGGAAUCGAUGUAGAAAUACAUAAGUUUCAUCAUAUCCUAAUAACACAGUACCACAGAUUGCUAAUUGUUAAUUUGAGUAACAAACAUGACGGCUACAAUAAUGCUGCAUUAUUAUAAUGCCCUAUUAAAAAGCACAAUUCAGAUUUUUUUUUUCAAAUUAUUUUAUUUAUUCACUUCUUGAAUGAAAUAUGCUACAAGUUGUUCCAGUUAAAUGAAGAUACACAACAUAAAUCAGCAUAAUUAAUGAUUAAGUACAUUUUUUUCAUGUUUUAAACUCCUUAUUUUGGGAUUGUGAAACAGAAUAUUGAAGUGUUUUCUUUUGCAAUCCUCAAUGUGAUAACUUGACAAAAUUCUUAACAAAAAAAUAAAUGAUAUUCAAAGCAGAAUUUUUCUUAAAACAGAAAGAAAAGGAUAAAUAU